RNAcentral lists this long non-coding RNA (6719 nucleotides) under Solanum lycopersicum (tomato). RNAcentral's name for it is "long non-coding RNA (SLYC_LNC001060)". Lineage: Eukaryota; Viridiplantae; Streptophyta; Magnoliopsida; Solanales; Solanaceae. The record is from RNAcentral.
UGUGAAUGUAAAGAUAGUGUGAAUGUUAAGAACACUAACCAGUUAAGCAAAACAAAUUGAUUCAACUUUUACUUGAACAAAGUAGUAAGAUAGCGAAGAAGAACACUUGAAUAAUUACCGGAUUCUCAAUGUAUUGUUAGAGUAGCAAGAGAGAAGAGAGAGUGAUGAGAGAAUUUGUGAUUGAGAGUGAAUGAGUGUAUGAGUUGAUGAGAGAACUUGUUAUGAAAGAUGAGUGUCUGUGAAUGAAUUGAGUACGAGGGAGUCCUAUUUAUAUAGCAAAAGGAGAAAAAAAAUAUAAAAAAAAUAAGGUAAAUAAAUAUUUUUUAGGAAUCAAGUAAGUAUACUAUUUUCCUUAUUCAAAAGGAGAUUCAAAUCAGCAAAAAUGUAAAAUAUAUCAUUUCCAAAUAUUACAAGUAAGAGUAAUUAGAAAGAUCAAUAUUAUUUGUCCUUAAAUAAAGAAGAAUCAAAAUCAGAUUAUAUUAUUUAUUCAUUUUUUCCAAAUAUAUAAAAAACUAAAUAUGACAAGAAAACAAUUAAAGUUUCAAUGAAUACUAUUUUUCCUUAAAUAAGAGCAUGAAAUCAGGUUUAUAUAAGAAUUAACAAAUUUAAUCAAGUAAGAAAUGAAAUUAGGAAGGGUAAUAUUUUCCUUAAAUAAUGAAGAACCAAAUUAAAUUUUUUUUACUAAAUAAACAAAUAAGUAAUCAAUCCUAUUUUUAAAUAAGGUAAACAAAUAAACUCAAUAAUACAACCAAGUAAAACAAGCAUGGAAAGGAUUAUUUCCAACAAUAAAUUGAUUUAGUUAAACCAAUAGACGAGAUUAUUAAGGAAAGGGAGGAAUUACAUUCAGAUUAUAAUUUGAAAGAAUCAAAUAAAUCACAAAAUUGGUGCGAGAUAUCGAUUCAAAUCCAACAUUACAGUAAUCUUUCCCAAAUUCAAUAACAAAAAUCAAUAAACAUGUCAAAAUCACCCAAAGUAGUAAAAUAAUAGAGGUUGAUAGUCUUAAUUCGUAAAAGCAAAUAAUUGAUUAUUCCCUGAAUGAAGCUUCUAUUAUUGAGCCAAAUUAGUUCAUAUUAUGCAUAAACAUAAGUCUUUCCAGAGCCUUCCAAGAUUAUAUAUCUAGAUUUUCAUAAAAAUAACGAAGGGAUAAACGUGCUGAAAUUACUAGAUAAUUCAGAAGACAUUGAAGAAAAAUUCAAGAUGUAAGUACAUAUAGCUAAGCAAAACAAAUACAAACACAAAUCAGUAUAAUAACUGUACGAAAUAAAAUGAAACCAAUCCAAUCAUGCAAAGCUUGAAUGCUCACGAUAAUUGAAAUCAUGAACAAAGAGUUGGAAUGAAGCACAAAUUAAUUAGAAUGUACCAAUCCACACUUAGCAAACUUGAUGAACCUUAAAAGUUGUUAUCGGAGUUCACUAUUGUUUUGUUGUUUCCGCUGCCAAAAAGCAAAGAAAGGAGCGAAAUCACCUAGUUGUGCACCAUCUUUGUGCAGUUGUUGGUCGGUUUCUCGCGUGUCUACUGCUUAUUGUUACAGGUGUCGGAGCUGCUGGUUACCUGCAGUUGCUGCUGCCUGGAAGCUCGCCUGAGCGUUGCCAGCAAUGGAGAAAAGAAGGCAGGAAAGAAGGGAAGAGAGAAGAGAAAGAAGAGGCGAGGAGAGACAGAAAGAGAGCGGCUCUUGCUGGUUGCUGCAGCUUCUUGCUGGUGUCCUCGCUAGCUUCUAUUGGAGAAUAGAAGCGAAAAAGAAAAGGAAGGAGAAGAGAGGAGAAGGUUGUCAUGGAUGGCCGACUCAUUGCCUCGCCGGAGUUCGCUUGAUGCUCCUCGCCGGACUGCUGUGCGCUGCUGCUGGCGGACCGCUGCUGUCCAUGCCGGUCAAUGCUGUCCGCUGCUGCUUGUGGGCCGCUGCUGUCCAUGCCGGUCACUGCUGUCCGCUGCUGCUGGUGGUCGCUGCUCUCGCCGGAGCGAAUGGAGAAGAGAGAGUGGGUGGCUGGCGGCUGCAAGGAGAGGGGAGGGAGAAGAAUAAUUUUAGGUCUUGAUUUUUAGUGUAUUGAAAUCAAGAAGAAAAGGGAAUUUUAUCACAACCGUUGAUUUAAUAAGAAAUAAAGGGAUAUGAUUCGAUUAAUAAUAGAUGGAUGAGAUUAAGAGAUGAGAUGUAUUGAAAUCAGAUUGGAUUGAAUAUGCAAUGGCUACAAUUGCAAUUAAAAUUGCUAGAAUUGAAAUGAAAGACGGGUUAUGAUUGAGAUAAAAUUUAAUUGGAGUAGCUAGAAUUGAAAGAAAAUAUAAUAGAAUAGGCUAGAAUUUAAAUAGUUUUAAGGAAAGUGUAGGAAUUAUUAUCUAAUAAAUACUACAUAUAUUAAAGAAUUUUUUUAAUUGAAAAAUCAUUUAAAUUUUAAACUUUUGAAAUUCAUUAAUAAUAUUUACGAUAAUUUUAUAAAGUAAAACAUAUUAAAAUAUAUAAUUUCCAAGCAAAAUCGAUUAAAAAUUCUAAACUUUAAAUAAAUUUUAAAAUACUUAUUUAAUCGAAUAUUAUCCCAAAAAUGGUUAAAGGUCGGUCAAAAUUGGGUGUCAACAGCUGCCCCUUGGUUGAUUGAGAAUGAAGAAUGAAUUGUCAGGCAACCAACGUUGACUUAGUAGCCGAUUUUGUCCGACCGACGAGAGAUGUCAGUUGGAUCAAUUAAAACGAUAUGGAUUUUAAAAAGGGCACAACCGAGACUUUGGUUUUAAGUCGCCUACAUAUCUCUGGUUAUACGAGAAUCAGGUCGUGUGUAGUUCUAGAUUCAAGAGCAAAUGAAACUGUUAAAAGUUGAAAGAGCGGUAAGGUAUUCAGAAGGCACGAUAUCGACUUGAAUGGAUAAGAUUAGAGUAGCGAGAAGAGAGAGAUUGAGAGGCUAAAAGAGCAUGACAAAGAAACGAGAAGAGCAUGAUAGAGUGAGAUUAUCAGCUUUUGCAAGGUUUGGAGUAUGAGUAGUAAAGAAUUAAUAGUGUCUUCGUUGUGAUAGCAUGAUAAUUGUAAUCAACGGGCGAUCCAUCAUAUCUGCAAAUUCUAGAUAAAACGUUAGCUUAUAAAUAAUGUAAGACCAAUAAUGAUAAAAUAUGAGUUCUAAAUAGAUGAUAAAAGGUGAUAAGCGCCUAUUUGUUUUGAGACGUAGUGCAAGCCUUGAUAGUUUUUAACUUCUUGAAGGAUUGAAACUCAUCUCUGAAGAAUAACGUCAAACUCCAAAAUAUUUGAUAGUAUAAACAUAUAAUAAUAUAAGUAAAAUGUCUGGUUGUAAGGAGAGUCUAAACGUCAUUUUAAAGCGGACGAGCCUAAACAUCAUAUUUUAAGACGGAAAAGCCUAAACAUCUUAUUCUAAGGCGGAAGAGCCUAAAUAUCGUAUUGUAAGGCAGACGAGCCUAAACAUCGUAUUGUAAGGCAGAUGAGCCUAAAUAUCCUAUUGUAAGGCGGAAGAGCCUAAACGUCGUAUUGCAAGGCAGACGAGCUUAAACAUCGUAUUAUAAGGCAGAUGAGCCUAAAUAUCCUAUUGUAAGGCGGAAGAGCCUAAACGUCGUAUUGUAAGGCAGACGAGCCUAAAUGUCGUAUUGUAAGGCAGACGAGCCUAAACAUCCUAUUGUAAGGCGAAAGAGCCUAAAUAUCCUAUUAUAUGGCGGAAGAGCCUAAACGUCGUAUUGUAAGGCAGACGAGCCUAAAUGUCGUAUUGUAAGGCAGACGAGCCUAAAUGUCGUAUUGUAAGGCAGACGAGCCUAAACAUCCUAUUGUAAGGCGGAAGAGCCUAAACAUCCUAUUGUAAGGCGAAAGAGCCUAAAUAUCGCAUUUUAAGGCGGAAAAGCCUAAACAUCCUAUUGUAAGGCGGAAAAGCCUAAAUAUCGUAUUAUAAUAAGGCGGGAGAGCUUAAAUAUAUAUUCAGUCAGUCGUAGAAAAAAGUUGAUAAUAGCCUCUUCAAAAAAUAAUCCGAGGAUAGUAUGACUUACAUAGUAGCUCCUAAAUAUGACAAUACGCUCAUAUAUAAUUUAUUCCUGCAUCCAGAGAAAAUUCGUAAAUUCAAAAGGCGAGAGAUGGUCAUACCUGUGCUUGUUUUGCCUUUAGAGUUGCAUUCCCUUGCGAUGAAAUUUUUGAGGAUUUCUCAAAAAUUUCUGCCCCAGUUUAGAGUAUAAGAUAUAUACUCACUUUGUUAAAUAUGUCUAUGAAAAUUUUUGAGGUUUCCUCAAAAAUUCUGCCCCAGUUUAUUAGUGGGGGAAUUUUUGAUUCUGCUUCACUCAAAGAAAAAUUAUAAGUUCCAAAGAAAGUGAUUGUCUUGUAUUUGGACAUUAAGGCUCGACUUAGAAUUCAAGUGUCAAUUAUGUCCAUGGAUUGUCAAUUAGCCUAGAUUUGAAUUUGUAAAGGAGUGUUUUGAAUGACCAUGGGAGAGAAAGAAAAUUUAUUUGAUAGAACCGGACCCAUCAAGGGUUGCCUACGUAUCCAAAAAGGAAAUCAGGUCAAACGUAGUUCAGAAUUACAAGGAAAAAUGAAAGGAAUGAGGAAGGCUUUGGGCAUAAGGUCUGAGAACAAUAAAGCCAACUUUGUUCAUAAGAGUCUUGUCCAUAUCAUUUUCUCUGAUGUGAUUUACGCUUCCUUGUCAAGUUCCUAACGUACAUCUUUGUAGGAUCUCCCUGAACGAUGAAUGUAUUCGCCAUAGAAGGAUUGCAAUUGUUGUUUUGUGGUCCUUGUUGCACUAUAAUUUUUCUUUUUUCAAUCAUAUUCUGAAUCUUAUUUCUCAAUGCUGCACAUUCUUCAGUGUCAUGACCUUGAAUGUUUGAAUAACAGGCACAAUUUUUGGAUAGAUCAAAGUUUGAAGUAGAGUGUUUGGGAAUCCAUCCAUUUAUUGGUCUUAGAAGUCCCUUAGCCCAUAAUCUCUGGAAAAUGUCGGUCAAAGUUUCCUUUAAGGGAGUGAAGACACAAGGUUUCCUCACCUUAUGUUGAGAAACCUGAGGGUUGGAAGGCUCAAGAAUAGCAUGAAUUUGCUCAAUAUUCUGAUUUCUUUGUUUCGGAGGUAUAUAGGUUAAUGCAUCUUCGUUCCUUUCAUCUAAUGAUUCUUUCAGGACUUGAAAAGGAAUUUGUGUAUCAGCAAUUCUUCCAGACUGAAUGCCAUAUUCUAACUCUUUUCGAAUUCGAAUUAGACUGUCGAAACUUUGAAUACCAACGAAGAACAAGGUUUUGUAGUAUAUACCCUCAAGUGAUCUGAUGAGAGUUUGUACCAACUCCUCUUCAUGCGGUAAGUGACGUAUCUUGGAGGCUUCCAUUCUCCAUCGUAUGACAUAUUCCUCAAAAGAUUCAUGACUUAAUUUCUUCAAUUUGAGCAAAUUUAACAUUGUAGGAUCAACCUUCUUAUUAAACUUGUAUUGUUCCACAAAGUCUCGAGCCAUGUCUUCCCAUGCGAGCCAUUUGUCAAAGUCUUGUUUGAUGUACCAAGUGAAGGCUAUUCCUUAUAAGCUUUGAAUAAAUAACCUCAUUAGGAGAGGUUCAUUUUUUUCUAAGCCAACUAGCCUGCUGCAAAAAUCUUUGAGAUGUGCCAUUGGAUCCCCAUGUCCGUCGAACAUGUUGAAUUUUGGAAUUUUAAAUUCUGACGGCAAUUCGACUCCUGGGUGUAGACAUAAAUUUUUAUACCUUAGGUCAUGAGUAGGUAUUGAAUUUAAUCAUCCAUUCACCUUUUUCUCCAAGUCAUGCAUUUUUCGCUGCAAUGCAUCUAGCUUAGACUUCUCUAUUUUGUCACCUAUUCCCUCAUAUCCUACAGCAUCAAAGUUGAGGCGUGUUGGAGACCUUUGUUGAGAGAGGGUGUGAGUAGGAAUAGGAUGAGGAGAGAUGGUCCAAAAGAUACUUUGUUGUGGACGAGAAGAAGGGUGAUUUUUUCGAAGAUUGAACAUAUUUGUCAUAUUGAUGGUUCUUAGUUGAGCCUAAAAUCCAAAUACUAGACAACCAUUAGUCAAAGAAGUAAAUCAAACACAAAAUCGGGUUAAUAUAUAGUAAGCCAAAAUUAUAAUUUCAAAUGAAUAACAUAAUAGCUCAAAGUGGUACAAUUAUAACAGUUAAUAGAAUAAGGUCACAUAAUUGGUUCAAGUCAUAUUUGUCAAUUUAAAGUUUAGAAUCAAAGAAAAUUUAUAUAUACAUUCAAAUAAACAAAUAAAUCAUUCUUCAAUUAAUCUUCAACUUGAACUUCAAGUUUGAAACCUGUCAAAGUAAUCAAAUAACUACACAAGUAAUCACACUUAUUAGUCAAGGUGUGACAAUAUGCAAUCGUUUAAUAACGAAUUAUACAUACAUACAUACAUACACACACACACACACACACACACACACACACACACAUAUAUAUAUAUAUAUAAAAUAAUAGCUUACACAAAUGUGUGAAUGUAAAGAUAGUGUGAAUGUUAAGAACACUAACCAGUUAAGCAAAACAAAUUGAUUCAACUUUUACUUGAACAAAGUAGUAAGAUAGCGAAGAAGAACACUUGAAUAAUUAUUGGAUUCUCAAUGUAUUGUUAGAGUAGCAAGAGAGCAAUGAGAGAAGGGAGAGUAAUGAGAGAAUUUGUGAUUGAGAGUGAAUGAGCGUGUGAGUUGAUGAGAGAACUUGUUAUGAAAGAUGAGUGUCUGUGAAUGAAUUGAGUAUGAGGGAGUCCUAUUUAUAUAGCAAAAGGAGAGAAAAAUAUAAAAAAAAAUAAGGUAAAUAAAUAUUUUUUAGGAAUCAAGUAAG